AUAGUGAAAACCUUUAUCUAGUGGCUCAUCUUUCUUCAGUCUCACAGCCCACAAAUCAGAAAUGUAGACGAAUGUAAUAGGCUUGGAAAAUACAUGUUAAGUGAAUAAAAUCUAACAAAAAAAGGACAAAGGUAGCAUUCUGAAUUAUCACUUUGUUAGAAAGAGAGGUGAAAAGAAGGGAUUCCUGCUGGACAAUCCCGGCAAAACGAGACCCACUACAGACAGCACUUUACCCAACCCGCCAGCCUUUAGAUUCUCAGGGUGAAAGCCGAUGACCUCACACGGGGUUUAUGAGGUGCGUGGAAAUCCUCCCUAAGACUUCUGGGGAAUGGAGUCUAAGAUCUGCUAGGAUCCAGCUUAAGAGAUCCAGUACUGGAGUCGGCAGAACUGGAGUAAAAUCCUGGUCCUUGUGUAACAUGAAUUAAAAUUAAGAAACUAGCAGUAUUCUACUACAGUGAAGCUCCUGAGUACUCAGCUCCAAUUAUUCAAUAUUCUUGAAAGGAUGCUUUAAAAAGCAAGCCCUUGUCCAAUAAGGUAUUUAAUAGUGCUUAGGGACUAUUAGAUGUCCCAUUUCUCUUCUCUUUCAUUUCUCUUGAUCCCUUCUCACCCCAGUGUAACAAACUGCUACAGGUUUUUACCAAAACGCUGCAGCAGUAGUUGGAAAUGAGUUAUUUUGCAUUAUCAAAGUAUUCAAUCACAUUAUCACAGGUCACAUUUGCAUAUAACCAAGAGAUGGACAAAUAACAUCUAUUGCAGUGAUU
RNAcentral lists this long non-coding RNA (761 nucleotides) under Pongo abelii (Sumatran orangutan). RNAcentral's name for it is "lncRNA (ENSPPYG00000031856.1)". Lineage: Eukaryota; Metazoa; Chordata; Mammalia; Primates; Hominidae. The record is from RNAcentral.